Molecule: ribosomal RNA, 452 nt
Filed under: uncultured Anoxybacillus sp.
Lineage: Bacteria; Bacillati; Bacillota; Bacilli; Caryophanales; Anoxybacillaceae
Description: bacterial SSU rRNA
Rfam family: Bacterial small subunit ribosomal RNA
Source: RNAcentral
GCGGUGGAGCAUGUGGUUAAUUCGAAGCAACGCGAAGAACCUUACCAGGUCUUGACAUCCCUGACAACCCGAGAGAUCGGGCGUUCCCCGUCGGGGGACAGGGUGACAGGUGGUGCAUGGUUGUCGUCAGCUCGUGUCGUGAGAUGUUGGGUUAAGUCCCGCAACGAGCGCAACCCUCGACCUUAGUUGCCAGCAUUCAGUUGGGCACUCUAAGGUGACUGCCGGCUAAAAGUCGGAGGAAGGUGGGGAUGACGUCAAAUCAUCAUGCCCCUUAUGACCUGGGCUACACACGUGCUACAAUGGGCGGUACAAAGGGUCGCGAACCCGCGAGGGGGAGCCAAUCCCAAAAAGCCGCUCUCAGUUCGGAUUGCAGGCUGCAACUCGCCUGCAUGAAGCCGGAAUCGCUAGUAAUCGCGGAUCAGCAUGCCGCGGUGAAUACGUUCCCGGGCCUU